Molecule: small nucleolar RNA, 76 nt
Organism: Xyrauchen texanus (razorback sucker)
Lineage: Eukaryota; Metazoa; Chordata; Actinopteri; Cypriniformes; Catostomidae
Source: RefSeq, a predicted model, not a curated record
CUGCAAUGAUGCUUUGAAUUUCUUCACCUGAAUUCAUGCUGAAGAUUAAAAAUACUAGGUUUUUAGACUGAGCAAC